RNAcentral lists this unclassified non-coding RNA (415 nucleotides) under Hevea brasiliensis (rubber tree). Lineage: Eukaryota; Viridiplantae; Streptophyta; Magnoliopsida; Malpighiales; Euphorbiaceae. The record is from RNAcentral.
AUGACCACAAAUUUGUCGCUUUUCGUCGAGUUCAAUAAAAUAGCACUUCAAUAUUCGUCACUGGCGUUAGUCUGAAGAAUUCUUUUCCUUGCGCUUGGAAUUUUUAGAGGAGGGGGUUUUUGAGCUAUUUUCUUCAAAACUUUUGCAGCUAUGGUAUGUUCAUUAUCCCAAGUGGGGGCCCUCUUUUUUAGCAUCUUGGAAAACUGGCUAAUAUAUUUGAACACAUGAGGGAUAAAUUCUUUAAGAUAGUUGAUAAAUCCAAGAAAUUGCUGAAUUUGCUUGACAGUGAGAUCUGUAUCCGGGAAUUUGAGCAAUUCUUGAGCAAUGUGUGGUCCAGUCUGGUACAUCCCAUUUUCAAAUUUCAUUCUAAGGAAUUCAAUAUCAGUUUGGGCCCAGUAGCUCUUCUUUUCAAAUA